RNAcentral lists this ribosomal RNA (467 nucleotides) under uncultured bacterium. RNAcentral's name for it is "partial 16S ribosomal RNA". It matches the Rfam family "Bacterial small subunit ribosomal RNA", at positions 28 to 507 of the family's 1533-position model. The record is from RNAcentral.
GACGAACGCUGGCGGCGUGCUUAACACAUGCAAGUCGAACGGAAAGGCCCUGCUUUUGUGGGGUGCUCGAGUGGCGAACGGGUGAGUAACACGUGAGUAACCUGCCCUUGACUUUGGGAUAACUUCAGGAAACUGGGGCUAAUACCGGAUAGGAGCUCCUGCUGCAUGGUGGGGGUUGGAAAGUUUCGGCGGUUGGGGAUGGACUCGCGGCUUAUCAGCUUGUUGGUGGGGUAGUGGCUUACCAAGGCUUUGACGGGUAGCCGGCCUGGGAGGGUGACCGGCAACAUGGGGACUGAGAUACGGCCCAGCUUCCUACGGGAGGCAGAAGUGGGGAAUAUGGCACAAUGGGCGGAGGCCUGAUGCAGCAACGCCGCGUGCGGAUGACGGCCUUCGGGUUGUAAACCGCUUUCGCCUGUGACGAAGCGUGAGUGACGGUAAUGGGUAAAGAAGCACCGGCUAACUACGUG